Gigantopelta aegis is the source of this 549-nucleotide long non-coding RNA. RefSeq lists it as uncharacterized. The transcript is spliced from 3 exons. The record is from RefSeq and is a predicted model, not a curated record. Lineage: Eukaryota; Metazoa; Mollusca; Gastropoda; Neomphalida; Peltospiridae.
AUUUCUUUCAAUUUAUAACACCUAUUUUGAUUAACUAGAGGGUAUUAAACAAGAUGAGCGAACAGAGUGACUGACUGACUAUUACAACGCAAUUGAAGUUCUGCUACCAACAGACAAACAAACAGAAAAGGAAAAAAGGAAAUAACUGAAGUUUAAUCGGUGAAGGUUGAGCUAUGGCUGAACGUCACGAACAGAAACGUAAGGUAGUGGAGAAGACAAAACUCGUUCUUGUUGGCAACACGGACGUGGGAAAGACUAGCCUCGCUGUCAGAUUUGCCACAAGUACAUUCGACAAAAAUCACGGGAGCACCAUUGGUGAUCCCGGACGACCCCCCAAUUUUCACUCCUGUCACGAACUGUCGGGUGUUGGUGCCUAGAACUCAGAAGCCGUAGGCGGGGGCAGUUCUCGUUUCCAUCAGAGAACAGCGUUUCUUCUUGUUUUGUUGUUGGUUGGUUGUUGUUUUGGUUGAAUGGGUUUUUUGUGUAUUUUUUUUUGUUUUUUCGGGUGUGUGUGUGUGUGAGUGCUUGUUUUGUUUUGUUAUUUAUGUG